GUAGUUAGCCGGAGCUUCCUCCUUGGCUACCGUCAUUAUCUUCACCAAGGACAGAGGUUUACAACCCGAAGCCUUCUUCCCUCACGCGGCGUUGCUGGGUCAGGCUUGCGCCCAUUGCCCAAUAUUCCCCACUGCUGCCUCCCGUAGGAGUCUGGACCGUGUCUCAGUUCCAGUGUGGCCGAUCAGCCUCUCAGCUCGGCUACCCAUCGUUGGCUAGGUGGGCCGUUACCCCGCCUACUACCUAAUGGGACGCGAGACCCUCUCUCUGCGGAUUUCUCCUUUGACCUCUGUGCCAUGCGGCACUGUGGUCUUAUGCGGUAUUAGCACCUGUUUCCAAGUGUUAUCCCCCUNAAAGAGGCAGGUUCCUCACGCGUUACUCACCCGUUCGCCACUAAGUACAAACCGAAUUCCGUACUUCGUUCGACUUGCAUGUGUUAGGCACGCCGCCAGCGUUCGUCCUGAGCCAGAAUCAAAACUUCGUACUACGUAGACGGGCCGGUCGCGGACGACGGCGACAGU
RNAcentral lists this ribosomal RNA (519 nucleotides) under uncultured bacterium. Its description in RNAcentral is "partial 16S ribosomal RNA". The record is from RNAcentral.